CAAGGUAUAGCUUAAACAAAGCAUCUAGUUUACACCUAGAAGAUUUCACAAUAUGCGAAUACCUUGA
Molecule: transfer RNA, 67 nt
Filed under: Tragulus napu (Balabac chevrotain)
Lineage: Eukaryota; Metazoa; Chordata; Mammalia; Artiodactyla; Tragulidae
Description: transfer RNA-Val
Source: RNAcentral